UACGAAGGGGGCUAGCGUUGUUCGGAAUUACUGGGCGUAAAGCGCACGUAGGCGGAUAUUUAAGUCAGGGGUGAAAUCCCAGAGCUCAACUCUGGAACUGCCUUUGAUACUGGGUAUCUUGAGUAUGGAAGAGGUAAGUGGAAUUGCGAGUGUAGAGGUGAAAUUCGUAGAUAUUCGCAAGAACACCAGUGGCGAAGGCGGCUCACUGGCCCGAUACUGACGCUGAGGUGCGAAAGCGUGGGGAGCAAACAGG
This 253-nucleotide ribosomal RNA is filed under the name uncultured bacterium. RNAcentral's name for it is "partial 16S ribosomal RNA". It matches the Rfam family "Bacterial small subunit ribosomal RNA", at positions 524 to 776 of the family's 1533-position model. The record is from RNAcentral.